RNAcentral lists this long non-coding RNA (1017 nucleotides) under Helianthus annuus (common sunflower). RNAcentral describes it as "hypothetical non coding rna". The record is from RNAcentral. Lineage: Eukaryota; Viridiplantae; Streptophyta; Magnoliopsida; Asterales; Asteraceae.
AAUCCCUUCAAGUAAAAAAAAUCUACAAACCCUAACCUACGCUUGGAUCUCUAAACCUUCCCCCAAAUUGGUUUCACAUUUUUACAGAUCUCAGAUUCAAAACAAACAAAAUUUGUUUGAGUCAUCCAGAUCUAACAAUCAAACCUAUGGUUGUUAACGGCCAUUGAAGAGGAUGAAACAUCGAGUAAACAAAGAUUUGUUUACGGACGGAGUUUGAACAGUGAGAACGGGACGUGGGAAUUUGGUUUCCGUUGAAGCGGUUCUGGUUUGACUUCGCGAUUUUCCGAUCAAAACAGGUUGACUUCGCGAUUUUCUCAUAACCCAACCCAGACACCCAUCGCUGCACCUCCAUACUCGCCACCGUUGUCGGCAUGGCCACCGCCACGUCUCCAUUUGCAGCCUCCAAAACGACACAUCAUAUCACCUUUUUUUUUUCUUCUUCUCCUUAGUAUAGAUCCAUUGUCGCCGAGGGGAUCGAAACCCUAUAUCUAUAUCACCUUCAAUCGCCGGAAACGACCAUCAUCGGUAAUCCUAAACACCGCUCGAAAACUGGUCUAGAUCGAGACAUGCAGACUCGCCGGCUGCCUCGUACUGGUCGGAAACGCAGCCGCCUCACUCCUUGAGGUCCACCGCUGCUGGGUCGUCGUUUUAAAGUAGUGGUUGCACCGGUGAAAAUGGGGGUAAACUCGAGACCCUGAGAAAAAUCUAUUAUACCAAUAUCAUCUAUUUUUGUGAUUUUUCUGCAAGGAAACCCUAAAUCAUCUAUAUAUAGAUAUAUGUUGGGUUUGGUGCCUGAUUGGAGGAGAUAUGACGGUUGAAUGUUGGUUUUUGUGACGAUUGGAGGAGAUACGACAGUUUCUUGAAUGUUUUGUGAUGUUUAGUAGAUGACUGCGGUUAUUUGACGGAAGGGAAGAUGACGGUUGCUUGAAUGUUUUGUGAUGAUUGGCAGUUAAUUUUUCAAACGGGUUGUGUAGCAUUUUUUGUAACUGUUGUUAAAUUUAAUUGAAACAAUGCGUC